GAGUUUGAUCAUGGUUCAGAGCGAACGCUGGCGGCAUGCUUAACACAUGCAAGUCGCACGGUCAGCAAUGGCAGUGGCGGACGGGUGAGUAACACGUAGGAAUCUAUCUCUGGGUGGGGGACAACCGUGGGAAACUACGGCUAAUACCGCAUGAUACCUGAGGGUCAAAGGCGUAAGUCGCCUGGAGAGGAGCCUGCGUCUGAUUAGCUUGUUGGUGGGGUAAAGGCUUACCAAGGCGACGAUCAGUAGCUGGUCUGAGAGGAUGAUCAGCCACAUUGGGGCUGAGACACGGCCCAAACUCCUACGGGAGGCAGCAGUGGGGAAUAUUGGACAAUGGGGGCAACCCUGAUCCAGCAAUGCCGCGUGUGUGAAGAAGGUCUUCGGAUUGUAAAGCACUUUUGGCAGGGACGAUGAUGACGGUACCUGCAGAAUAAGCCCCGGCUAACUUCGUGCCAGCAGCCGCGGUAAUACGAAGGGGGCUAGCGUUGCUCGGAAUGACUGGGCGUAAAGGGCGCGUAGGCGGCACAUACAGUCAGAUGUGAAAUUCCUGGGCUCAACCUGGGGACUGCAUUUGAUACGUGUGAGCUAGAGUGGAGAAGAGGGUUGUGGAAUUUCCAGUGUAGAGGUGAAAUUCGUAGAUAUUGGAAAGAACACCGGUGGCGAAGCGGCAACCUGGUCUUUAACUGACG
Molecule: ribosomal RNA, 689 nt
Filed under: uncultured Acetobacteraceae bacterium
Lineage: Bacteria; Pseudomonadati; Pseudomonadota; Alphaproteobacteria; Acetobacterales; Acetobacteraceae
Description: bacterial SSU rRNA
Rfam family: Bacterial small subunit ribosomal RNA
Source: RNAcentral